UACGUAGGGGGCAAGCGUUGUCCGGAAUCAUUGGGCGUAAAGCGCGUGUAGGCGGCCCGGUAAGUCCGCUGUGAAAGUCGGGGGCUCAACCCUCGAAUGCCGGUGGAUACUGUCGGGCUAGAGUGCGGAAGAGGCGAGUGGAAUUCCUGGUGUAGCGGUGAAAUGCGCAGAUAUCAGGAGGAACACCGAUGGCGAAGGCAGGUCUCUGGGCCACUACUGACGCUGAGAAGCGAAAGCAUGGGGAGCGAACAGG
This 253-nucleotide ribosomal RNA is filed under the name uncultured bacterium. Its description in RNAcentral is "partial 16S ribosomal RNA". It matches the Rfam family "Bacterial small subunit ribosomal RNA", at positions 524 to 776 of the family's 1533-position model. The record is from RNAcentral.